UACGUAGGGUGCAAGCGUUAUCCGGAAUCACUGGGCGUAAAGCGUGCGUAGGCGGGCAUUUAAGUGAGUUGUUAAAUCGUGUGGCUCAACCAUAUCGAUGCAAUUCAUACUGGGUUCCUAGAGGAAGGCAGAGGCAAGUGGAAUUUGUAGUGUAGCAGUGAAAUGCGUAGAUAUUACAAGGAACACCAAUGGCGAAGGCAGCUUGCUGGGCCUUUUCUGACGCUGAGGUACGAAAGCGUGGGGAGCGAACAGG
This 253-nucleotide ribosomal RNA is filed under the name uncultured bacterium. RNAcentral describes it as "partial 16S ribosomal RNA". It matches the Rfam family "Bacterial small subunit ribosomal RNA", at positions 524 to 776 of the family's 1533-position model. The record is from RNAcentral.